This is a long non-coding RNA of Phragmites australis (common reed), 973 nucleotides long. RefSeq lists it as uncharacterized. The record is from RefSeq and is a predicted model, not a curated record. The transcript has 2 exons. NCBI's taxonomy places the organism in Eukaryota, Viridiplantae, Streptophyta, Magnoliopsida, Poales, Poaceae.
UUCACCUCUCCACCCGAUCGGUCACCUGCCCCCAAAUCCCAACUCCAACCCUAGCUGUCAGCACCGGCUGCCGCCCCUGCCCUGCGCCCCGCCCCCGCCAGCCGCCGCUGAGGGCACCCAAAAAAAUCGAUCCCCUCUCCGUUUCUCCGCUCCUCAUGUUGUACUUGACGCCGGCUGCUCGAUUCGCUUCCAGAGACGACGGAUGUCAACGCUGGAGAUUGCCAAAUUGAUUCCCCGUGCUACUCUGAUUCUCCACUUCCAUUUUCUCAACUUGAUUUAUCACCUUUGUGCUCCCGAGUUUGAACCCUAGCGACGGCCCAUGCGGAGAGUGGAGGUUGACGAGAUGCGGCAGUGGCACAAAUCUCGUAUCCCGGCCUGGCGCCUUGCGGGCGACCUUGGCGACGACGGAGCUUGAAGCUUGGUGUAGAUGACCUCCGCAGAGAGAGGCAAGAACAUGUGUGAUGAGGAUGUCAAGGAGAACCAAACAAUCUUUGCAAACUAUUACGCGAGGAAUAAGGUGAACCCAUUGCUCAGUUCAUUAGGUGGCCUGAAGCUAAUCUUUUCGUCAUUUGGCACUUGUCAUAUUUUCAGUCCUAGAUGAUAUGGACCUGUUAUCAUACCUGAUGCUCCUCUAUCAUUGCUCAGUUCUGAUACUUUAAAUGCCCGCUUUUUCUUGAUUCUGAACUUUCAGGCUGCCACUUUUUUUUAACUGAAUUUGCAGGAGUUUGAGUAUAAUGCAGCCAUCUGUAUCUAUCUUGCAAUCUGAACUUUUAGGAUGCCACAAUGACUGCACUAGAGACGUAGUACUUUGUUGGUAUGCUUAUGGUCCAGAUCAAAGUGAUGUGUAGCUUAUCCACAAACUUACGUCCAUCUCUAAUGCUUCUAGUGAAAAGAGAUCUUUUCGACACUAUCUCUAAAUUGGAAUGUGUUGUCUAGUUUUUUUUUCUGUGGAUUUAUCCCAUGAUGCUCUAUA